This 77-nucleotide transfer RNA is filed under the name Corynebacterium sp. RNAcentral's name for it is "tRNA-Leu". It matches the Rfam family "tRNA". Rfam says of the family: Transfer RNA (tRNA) molecules are approximately 80 nucleotides in length. Their secondary structure includes four short double-helical elements and three loops (D, anti-codon, and T loops). Further hydrogen bonds mediate the characteristic L-shaped molecular structure. tRNAs have two regions of fundamental functional importance: the anti-codon, which is responsible for specific mRNA codon recognition, and the 3' end, to which the tRNAs corresponding amino acid is attached (by aminoacyl-tRNA synthetases). tRNAs cope with the degeneracy of the genetic code in two manners: having more than one tRNA (with a specific anti-codon) for a particular amino acid; and 'wobble' base-pairing, i.e. permitting non-standard base-pairing at the 3rd anti-codon position. Lineage: Bacteria; Bacillati; Actinomycetota; Actinomycetes; Mycobacteriales; Corynebacteriaceae. RNAcentral also lists the same sequence under 53 other names. The record is from RNAcentral.
GCCCCUAUAGCCCAAUUGGCAGAGGCAGAGGACUUAAAAUCCUUUCAGUGUGGGUUCGAGUCCCACUGGGGGCACCA